Molecule: ribosomal RNA, 382 nt
Filed under: uncultured bacterium
Lineage: Bacteria
Description: bacterial SSU rRNA
Rfam family: Bacterial small subunit ribosomal RNA
Source: RNAcentral
AUUGAACGCUGGCGGCAUGCUUUACACAUGCAAGUCGAACGGCAGCACGGGGGCGAACCCUCGGUGGCGAGUGGCGAACGGGUGAGUAAUGCAUCGGAACGUACCGUGUAAUGGGGGAGUAACGUAGCGAAAGUUACGCUAAUACCGCAUACGCCCUGAGGGGGAAAGCGGGGGAUCGUAAGACCUCGCGUUAUACGAGCGGCCGAUGUCGGAUUAGCUAGUUGGUGGGGUAAAGGCCCACCAAGGCGACGAUCCGUAGCGGGUCUGAGAGGAUGAUCCGCCACACUGGGACUGAGACACGGCCCAGACUCCUACGGGAGGCAGCAGUGGGGAAUUUUGGACAAUGGGGGCAACCCUGAUCCAGCCAUGCCGCGUGCGGGAA